UACGUAGGGCGCAAGCGUUGUCCGGAAUUAUUGGGCGUAAAGAGCUCGUAGGCGGCUUGUCACGUCGGGUGUGAAAGCCCGGGGCUUAACCCCGGGUCUGCAUUCGAUACGGGCAGGCUAGAGUGUGGUAGGGGAGAUCGGAAUUCCUGGUGUAGCGGUGAAAUGCGCAGAUAUCAGGAGGAACACCGGUGGCGAAGGCGGAUCUCUGGGCCAUUACUGACGCUGAGACGCGAAAGCGUGGGGAGCGAACAGG
This 253-nucleotide ribosomal RNA is filed under the name uncultured bacterium. RNAcentral describes it as "partial 16S ribosomal RNA". It matches the Rfam family "Bacterial small subunit ribosomal RNA", at positions 524 to 776 of the family's 1533-position model. The record is from RNAcentral.